UGGUGAAAAUGGCUUUCCUUAAGAGCUCUCAAGUCAUGUUGAUGGCCCUUUUCGUAGGAAUCAUCCUUCUCAUGUCCUCUGAGGUCGCUACUGCAACAACACAACUUAAAUUUGGACGAAGGGUUCUAGGCGUACCAAAUGACGACUACCAUGAUCAUCCAAUUGGCUAUCCCGUAGGAAGGGCAGGAUACCAAUACCCUCCUCCAUAACCAUAGUCAUGUAGAAAUUCAAAUAAAAUUUGCUACCUGAAUAAGAGAUUAGCUAAGAUGCUAUCUGAUGAUGUCUACAGAUAAUUAAGGGUGACUGUGAGUUAUGCUUAUGCUUGAUGCUUGAAUCGUGGGGUCAGAAUAUAUUUAGUAUUGUGAAGCAAUAUGUAAGGCGGAAUUAUCAACAAAAUAAUACAUCUGGAUGAUGUUAGUAUUGGGAUGUAUAAGAUUGAUGAGUAUCUUAAAAGAGAUGUAUUUCAUUUCUGGCUUUAUACAUUAAUCUCCUUGUGUUGGAUGUCA
This is a long non-coding RNA of Vitis riparia (riverbank grape), 506 nucleotides long. RefSeq lists it as uncharacterized. The record is from RefSeq and is a predicted model, not a curated record. The transcript has 2 exons. Lineage: Eukaryota; Viridiplantae; Streptophyta; Magnoliopsida; Vitales; Vitaceae.